AUUGAACGCUGGCGGCAGGCCUAACACAUGCAAGUCGAACGAGUGGCGGACGGGUGAGUAAUGUCUGGGAAACUGCCCGAUGGAGGGGGAUAACUACUGGAAACGGUAGCUAAUACCGCAUACCAUCGGAUGUGCCCCGAUGGGAUUAGCUAGUAGGUGGGGUAAUGGCUCACCUAGGCGACGAUCCCUAGCUGGUCUGAGAGGAUGACCAGCAACAAGGGGAAUGAGACACGGGCCAGACGCGUACGGGAGGCAGCAGUGGGGAAUAUUACACAAUGGGAGCAAGCCUGAUGCAGCCAUGCCGCGUGUAUGAAGAAGGACGUCGGGUUGUAAAGUACUUUCAGUGGGGAGGCGGUACUAGGAGAAGAAGCACCGGCUAACUCCGUGCCAGCAGCCGCGGUAAUAC
This 406-nucleotide ribosomal RNA is filed under the name uncultured bacterium. Its description in RNAcentral is "partial 16S ribosomal RNA". It matches the Rfam family "Bacterial small subunit ribosomal RNA", at positions 29 to 526 of the family's 1533-position model. The record is from RNAcentral.